GUGCCAGCAGCCGCGGUAAUACGGAGGAGGCGAGCGUUGUUCGGAAUCAUUGGGCUUAAAGCGCGUGUAGGCGGAUCGGUAAGUGUCUUGUGAAAGCCCCCGGCUCAACCGGGGAACCGCUGGGCAUACUGCCGGUCUUGAGGCAGGUAGGGGCGGGUGGAACUCUAGGUGGAGCGGUGAAAUGCGUAGAUAUCUAGAGGAACGCCGGUGGCGAAAGCGACCCGCUGGGCCUGUUCUGACGCUGAGACGCGAAAGCGUAGGGAGCAAACGGGAUUAGAUACCCCGGUAGUCUACGCCGUAAACGAUGCGCACUGGGUUUGAAGGCCCCUGACGGCCUUCGGGCCGAAGCAAAAGUGCUAAGUGCGCCGCCUGGGGAGUACGGCCGCAAGGCUAAAACUCAAAGGAAUUGACGG
RNAcentral lists this ribosomal RNA (413 nucleotides) under uncultured bacterium. Its description in RNAcentral is "bacterial SSU rRNA". It matches the Rfam family "Bacterial small subunit ribosomal RNA", at positions 505 to 916 of the family's 1533-position model. The record is from RNAcentral.